AUAAUGCUUUGAUGAUUGUGCCAAAUGAAGUAUUACGUUAUAGAAAAUUAUUAAAUUCCUCGAUUGACCAAAGUAAUAACCAUGAUAUAAUAUUUCAUCCUUCUGUUAUGGAAAAAAGAUAGAUCAAAGACCUAAUAAAUAUGCAGUUGGAAUGAUCGUAACACAUAAUGAAUAUGAAGAUGAGUGUAGUGAUAUUAAAAAUGAACAUAAAAAAAAUAUUGCAGGUGUAAUAAUCGGAUGGUACAUAAACGGUCACAAAAUUAGGUUAACCGGAAACAAAGUAUGGCAAUCUCGUAUGCGUUUCAAUAUUUGUUGUAAUUUUGGGGAUCCAAAUGAUCUAACACAUUAUGUAAUUCUUACGGAAAAGAAUGAAAUGUGUUGCGUAAAUGAAGGCGCCCUGACUUUAACAUCUAAAUGGAUCGAAAACAGCGAAAUAGGUCGAUAUUU
This is a non-coding RNA of Nylanderia fulva, 447 nucleotides long. The record is from RefSeq and is a predicted model, not a curated record. NCBI's taxonomy places the organism in Eukaryota, Metazoa, Arthropoda, Insecta, Hymenoptera, Formicidae.